This 896-nucleotide ribosomal RNA is filed under the name Escherichia coli. RNAcentral describes it as "partial 23S ribosomal RNA". It matches the Rfam family "Bacterial large subunit ribosomal RNA", at positions 856 to 1751 of the family's 2925-position model. The record is from RNAcentral. Lineage: Bacteria; Pseudomonadati; Pseudomonadota; Gammaproteobacteria; Enterobacterales; Enterobacteriaceae.
UCCCCGAAAGCUAUUUAGGUAGCGCCUCGUGAAUUCAUCUCCGGGGGUAGAGCACUGUUUCGGCAAGGGGGUCAUCCCGACUUACCAACCCGAUGCAAACUGCGAAUACCGGAGAAUGUUAUCACGGGAGACACACGGCGGGUGCUAACGUCCGUCGUGAAGAGGGAAACAACCCAGACCGCCAGCUAAGGUCCCAAAGUCAUGGUUAAGUGGGAAACGAUGUGGGAAGGCCCAGACAGCCAGGAUGUUGGCUUAGAAGCAGCCAUCAUUUAAAGAAAGCGUAAUAGCUCACUGGUCGAGUCGGCCUGCGCGGAAGAUGUAACGGGGCUAAACCAUGCACCGAAGCUGCGGCAGCGACGCUGAUGCGUUGUUGGGUAGGGGAGCGUUCUGUAAGCCUGCGAAGGUGUGCUGUGAGGCAUGCUGGAGGUAUCAGAAGUGCGAAUGCUGACAUAAGUAACGAUAAAGCGGGUGAAAAGCCCGCUCGCCGGAAGACCAAGGGUUCCUGUCCAACGUUAAUCGGGGCAGGGUGAGUCGACCCCUAAGGCGAGGCCGAAAGGCGUAGUCGAUGGGAAACAGGUUAAUAUUCCUGUACUUGGUGUUACUGCGAAGGGGGGACGGAGAAGGCUAUGUUGGCCGGGCGACGGUUGUCCCGGUUUAAGCGUGUAGGCUGGUUUUCCAGGCAAAUCCGGAAAAUCAAGGCUGAGGCGUGAUGACGAGGCACUACGGUGCUGAAGCAACAAAUGCCCUGCUUCCAGGAAAAGCCUCUAAGCAUCAGGUAACAUCAAAUCGUACCCCAAACCGACACAGGUGGUCAGGUAGAGAAUACCAAGGCGCUUGAGAGAACUCGGGUGAAGGAACUAGGCAAAAUGGUGCCGUAACUUCGGGAGAAGGCACGC